Molecule: long non-coding RNA, 1187 nt
Organism: Mesocricetus auratus (golden hamster)
Lineage: Eukaryota; Metazoa; Chordata; Mammalia; Rodentia; Cricetidae
Exons: 2
Source: RefSeq, a predicted model, not a curated record
UACAUGGAUAAAUCUGUACAUGUUAAACAGGUUUUUUUUUAAUACUUCAUCUUUGGAGGGAAAUAUACAUGGCCAUUCACCUUGUGAUUUCUGCAAACUCAGAGUGCAUUUCUCUAUUUGCAUGUAUUACAUUACCUCCAGUCUUUAGAAUAAGCAUCCUUGUGCCAUUUUCUUAAUGUCAUUUGUGACCAUUACUUUUUUUAUUGGAUUUUUUUUUCUCAUUUUUUGAAGUGGAGAGCUCAUUAGACAGCUGUUUGCUCAUCAGACACUCUCUAUGCAGACAAAGUUUGAAGCAAAUAAUUUAAACGUUUCUCUCUUUGUUAGGUGUUGAGAUUUAAGUGGUCCUAGCAGACCAUGCUCCACUAUGUUUGGGGAUUUGUUUUGGUUUGAUUUGAUUUGAUGUGUUUGGGUGCUUGGGCAGCUUGUAUGUGUGUGCAGUAAGCUUGCCUGAUGAAAGCCGUUAUGUAAAUGAUCCCGUGGUUGGCGACUUUACAGGACAGGAAAUCAGAAGCCAGGUGAUCUGGGCGGAGCUAGGAGGAGCCUCUCUGGGGAACCAGGCUGAAGGAACCGGAAAUUCCUCCAUUCCCUGUUGUACUCGGGGAUCCUCAUGGUCCAGAACAAGAUGUAAAAUUUCAACAAGAGCUCAAGUUUUCUCCUAAGACACUCAGAGAAGAGCCACAAGAACAAUGAAUGCUUCUGUGGUAAAUGCUCCCCAGGUCAGUGUCAUGUUCACAUUUUUAUGUAAACUUCAUGAUGCAUUAUGCCCCUGUUUCUCUGAGGUCAGCACAAAACCAUGGGCACUGAAGUCAUACAUUGUAGUUAUUGUCAUGUGUAUAUAGAGAAUCAAAUUAGGUUUCUCUAUAGGUACAGAAUGGGGCUCUUACAUCUGAGCCAUGUCUUCAUUCUGGUGGGAGCUUGUGAUAUUAUAUAACACUGUAUAUUCUAGUUUCAAAAAUAAAGGAGUAAUCAUUAUUGAUAGCUGUCUAUGCUAAAUUCUUGUUACAAUUAUUUUCUAAUUUUCUAAUAACUGUUCUAAUUGCCUUGGAGAUGAUUAAAGGGAUACCUAAAUCCCUUCAAACAGUUAAAAACAACCUAAAUCGAUUUAGAUAUAGCCAAAAGAAUCAUCCAGACAGUCGGUUAAUAUCUUAACAAAAAAAGUCAAGGGUUAAGCCAUCAGAGCCAGUCAA